Molecule: ribosomal RNA, 428 nt
Filed under: uncultured bacterium
Lineage: Bacteria
Description: bacterial SSU rRNA
Rfam family: Bacterial small subunit ribosomal RNA
Source: RNAcentral
GUAGGGAAUAUUGCACAAUGGAGGAAACUCUGAUGCAGCGACGCCGCGUGAGUGAUGAAGGCCUUCGGGUCGUAAAGCUCUGUCGCAGGGGAAUAACACAAUGAAGGUACCCUGUAAGAAAGGAUCGGCUAACUUCGUGCCAGCAGCCGCGGUAAGACGAGGGAUCCUAGCGUUGUUCGGAAUCAUUGGGCGUAAAGCGGAUGUAGGUGGCUAUGUAAGUCAGAUGUGAAAGCCUGGGGCUCAACCCCAGAAGUGCAUUUGAUACUGCGUAGCUUGAGUGGCGGAGAGGUUACUAGAAUUGUUGGUGUAGUGGUGAAAUACGUAGAUAUCAACAGGAAUACCGGAGGCGAAGGCGGGUAACUGGCCGAACACUGACACUGAGAUCCGAAAGCGUGGGGAUCAAACAGGAUUAGAAACCCGGGUAGUCC